UGGGUAGUCCGCACGAGCGCAACCCUGUCCUUAGUUGCCAGCACAUAAUGGUGGGGACUCUAAGGAGACUGCCUGGGAUAACCAGGAGGAAGGUGGGGAUGAUGUCAAGUCAGUAUGUCCCUUAUGUCCAGGGCUACACACGUACUACAAUGGCCGGCACAGAGGGCUGCGAAGUCGCAAGGCGGAGCGAAUCUCAGAAAACCGGUCGUAGUCCGGAUUGCAGUCUGCAACUCGAGUUCAUGAAGUUGGAAUCGCUAGUAAUCGUAGAUCAGCGUGCUACGGUGAAUACGUUCUCGGGCCUUGUACACACCGCCCGUCACGCCAUGGAAGUUGGUUUUACCUUAAGCCUGUGUGCUAACCGCAAGGGGGCAGCAGUCCACGGUAGGGUCAGCAACUGGGGCGAAGUCGUAACAAGGUAGCCGUAGGGGAACCUGCGGCUGGAUCACCUCCUCUCU
This 455-nucleotide ribosomal RNA is filed under the name uncultured Alphaproteobacteria bacterium. RNAcentral's name for it is "bacterial SSU rRNA". It matches the Rfam family "Bacterial small subunit ribosomal RNA", at positions 1077 to 1533 of the family's 1533-position model. Lineage: Bacteria; Pseudomonadati; Pseudomonadota; Alphaproteobacteria. The record is from RNAcentral.